ACCUGUUCCCGAUGCCCAGAAGGGCCUCGGAAGGGGCUUCUGUAAGGGAGCAGCCUGCUGGGCCAGGUUAAUGGCAGGCGUGCUUUUUUUGGAAUUCACCUUCAUCUUAUGCUGUGUCUACAUUAAUUAUUAUUGGAAGAGAAAAUGGUGCUCCUGUGCAUCGUCAGCAGAUGAGCCUAAGAACACAGGCAGCGGGAGCUUGACAGUUUAUCCCAGCUCUCCACUUCUGCCCCUAUCUGCCCUGCCGUGGCUGCAGCAGCGUCAGGAGGCCGUCCCAAAACCCACCCUCCUCAACGCGACCCUCUGCCCCUGAGCCUCCUGGUCCUGUUCCCCGGCCAGGAAUGAAGAUGGGCAUCCCCUGUCUGCCAGGGCAGGGCUUGGCCCAUAUUUCAUAUUCAAAUAAAAGAAUAAAGUUUUCACAA
Long non-coding RNA from Passer domesticus (house sparrow), 422 nucleotides. RefSeq lists it as uncharacterized. The record is from RefSeq and is a predicted model, not a curated record. NCBI's taxonomy places the organism in Eukaryota, Metazoa, Chordata, Aves, Passeriformes, Passeridae. The transcript is spliced from 2 exons.